GAUGAAGAACGUAGCGAAAUGCGAUAAGUAAUGUGAAUUGCAGGAUUCAGUGAAUCAUCGAAUCUUUGAACGCACAUUGCGCCCGUCAGUAUUCUGGCGGGCAUGCCUGUUCGAGCGUCAUUACGCCCCUCAAGUCCCCUGUGGACUUGGUGUUGGGGAUCGGCGAGGCUGGUUUUCCAGCACAGCCGUCCCUUAAAUUAAUUGGCGGUCUCGCCGUGGCCCUCCUCUGCGCAGUAGUAAAACACUCGCAACAGGAGCCCGGCGCGGUCCACUGCCGUAAAACCCCCCAACUUUUUAUAGUUGACCUCGAAUCAGGUAGGACUACCCGCUGAACUUAAGCAUAUCAAUAAGCGGAGGA
RNAcentral lists this unclassified non-coding RNA (358 nucleotides) under soil metagenome. RNAcentral's name for it is "partial contains 5.8S ribosomal RNA, internal transcribed spacer 2, and large subunit ribosomal RNA". The stretch from base 1 to 120 matches the Rfam family "5.8S ribosomal RNA", at positions 35 to 154 of the family's 154-position model. The record is from RNAcentral.